Malus domestica (apple) is the source of this 1498-nucleotide RNA transcript. It is a transcript of the gene named alpha/beta hydrolase domain-containing protein WAV2-like, with no coding region annotated. NCBI's taxonomy places the organism in Eukaryota, Viridiplantae, Streptophyta, Magnoliopsida, Rosales, Rosaceae. The record is from RefSeq and is a predicted model, not a curated record.
AAUUUCCACUAUGCACUUUCCAGAUAGUUAAAAAGGAGCCGGAGAUUAGAACAAGCCGAAAACCCAAACCCAGCAAAAAGCUCCUCACACCCCCACCCAGCCAUGGUGUCGUACGUGAACGCGCUGCUGUACGGGGUGGGCGGCCUGGUGGUGGCCGGCAUGGCAUUGCUCGUCGCCCUCCAGGAGCGGCUUGUCUACGUCCCCGUCCUGCCGGGUCUCACCAAGUCCUACCCGAUUACCCCCGCCCGCCUACGCCUUACUUACGAGGACGUCUGGCUCCACUCCUCCGACGGCGUUCGCCUCCACGCUUGGUUCAUCAAGCUCUUCCCCCACUGCAGAGGUCCAACCCUCUUGUUUUUCCAAGAAAAUGCUGGAAACAUUGCUCAUCGCCUCGAAAUGGUCCGGAUAAUGUUACAGAAAUUGCAAUGUAACGUGUUCAUGCUUUCAUAUCGAGGUUAUGGAGCAAGUGAAGGAUAUCCUUCUCAGCAUGGGAUCAUAAAAGAUGCUCAGGUUGCAUUGGAUCAUCUUUCUCAGAGGACUGACAUUGACACAUCUAGAAUAGUUGUCUUUGGAAGGUCACUUGGUGGUGCUGUUGGAACUGUGGUCACUAAAAACAACCCUGAUAAGGUUGCUGCACUGAUAGUGGAAAACACCUUCACAUCUAUUUUGGACAUGGCUGGAGUUUUACUCCCUUUCUUGAAGUGGUUUAUUGGAGGCAGUGGUUCAAAAGGUCCUAAAGCACUUAAUUUUCUUGUACGGUCUCCUUGGAGUACAAUUGAUGUCAUUGGUGAGGUUAAGCAGCCAAUCCUCUUUCUCUCCGGCUUGCAAGAUGAGAUGAUUCCUCCGUCCCAUAUGCAAAUGCUGUAUGCCAAAGCAGCUGCCCAUAAUAAGCAGUGUGUUUUUGUGGAAUUUCCCACUGGCAUGCAUAUGGAUACUUGGCUCACUGGUGGUGAUAAUUAUUGGAGAACGGUCCAGGAGUUUCUUCAACAACAUGUUCCAGCAAAAAAUGAUGAUGAAUCGUCUCACACUGAUAGAGGAUUAACUUGGGAAUGGAUGCUGGCGCUACAGCCUGGUUGAGUUCUAAAAUACUUAAUUAUUUGACUGCACGUCAAGUACCACUGGGGCGGGGGUGAAACUUCAUGUUGUAUGAACUUGGGAUAUGUGGGGGCAAAGUGAUUGGAUGGAUUUUAGACUUGUUCAAGCAAUCUGAUUGGCUCCUCACUCAACACAAUCUGUACCUUUUUUCUGAAGCUGCAGCAAUUGAAAGCUCUCUUUGAGGAGCCGCUCUGCAAGGACCGCUGCACCUAUUCAGGUCUUCCCUGUUGAAUAUUUUUUGUUGGUUUACAAACUUGAGACAAUUGGGAGAAAAUGUGAAUGCCAUGGAUCUACUAUAUGACUUCUGACAUACACGCUCGAUGCCUAAUCUGUUCUUACUGACCCAUUGUAUGAAAUAAGAAGUCACUAUAUAUGCAAAUAUAUAUGUUGAGUUGGUGCAUCA